RNAcentral lists this transfer RNA (80 nucleotides) under Xanthomonas campestris pv. campestris. RNAcentral describes it as "tRNA-Ala". Lineage: Bacteria; Pseudomonadati; Pseudomonadota; Gammaproteobacteria; Lysobacterales; Lysobacteraceae. The record is from RNAcentral.
GCCAGUUGUUCAGCGGGUGCGGCUGGCGCUGCUGGCGUUGGCGUUUCUGCAGCCGGCGUACUGGGCGCUGCAACCGGCGC